CCUACGGGAGGCAGCAGUCGAGAAUCAUUCACAAUGGGGGAAACCCUGAUGGUGCGACGCCGCGUGGGGGAAUGAAGGUCUUCGGAUUGUAAACCCCUGUCAUGUGGGAGCAAAUUAAAAAGAUCGUACCACAAGAGGCAGAGACGGCUAACUCUGUGCCAGCAGCCGCGGUAAUACAGAGGUCUCAAGCGUUGUUCGGAAUCACUGGGCGUAAAGCGUGCGUAGGCUGUUUCGUAAGUCGUGUGUGAAAGGCGCGGGCUCAACCCGCGGACGGCACAUGAUACUGCGAGACUAGAGUAAGGGAGGGGGAACCGGAAUUCUCGGUGUAGCAGUGAAAUGCGUAGAUAUCGAGAGGAACACUCGUGGCGAAGGCGGGUUCCUGGACAUUAACUGACGCUGAGGCACGAAGGCCAGGGGAGCGAAAGGGAUUAGAUACCCCAGUAGUC
Molecule: ribosomal RNA, 446 nt
Filed under: uncultured bacterium
Lineage: Bacteria
Description: partial 16S ribosomal RNA
Rfam family: Bacterial small subunit ribosomal RNA
Source: RNAcentral